Molecule: long non-coding RNA, 711 nt
Organism: Panicum virgatum (switchgrass)
Lineage: Eukaryota; Viridiplantae; Streptophyta; Magnoliopsida; Poales; Poaceae
Exons: 2
Source: RefSeq, a predicted model, not a curated record
CCGGGUGUCCUAUAAGUAACACAACGCAGGUAGGCAAGAUCGAUCGAAGCAAAACCAAAGCACUUGCCGUCGUCGCAAACUCAUCGACCGACCGAUCGAUCAACCAGACGGUGGCAGCGCGUGCCUGCCGGAUCGGAGCCUGCGACCUGCGUGCGCGAUGGCCGUGCAGCUGCGGCGGCGCCCCGGCCUCCUGGCGCUCGCCGUGGCGCUCUUGCUGGCGGCCACGGGCGGCUGCCUCUGCCGGAGCGUUCCGUCCGGGGUGCCGGCGCGCGCCCUCCUGUGAUCCUGUCGACGCCGCCGGCAACACCGGACACCCCAGCUCCUCCUCCGUUCCAUUUCCCCCCGGCCGAUCUGCCGCCUCUGCCCUUCGCGCUGCCCAUCUGAAGGUUGCUCCGGCGGCACCGGCGGCCGCUUGCCAUGAUUUUCACGGCCACCAUGCAUCAACAGCGGGUAGCGAUCCCGCAUGUACUACGGAUCAUUGAUGAAUGUGAUGGUCACUGAUGGAGCAGCCUAAUCAGUAAUAAUCACACAUCUUUCAUGCACACCAGUAAAUAAAAGGGAAAUAAAUUAUCUCCAGCCGACCAGUUUCGGCUUUACCAGGAUGCACGUAAUAGGAGAGCUUGAAGGCCGUGUGCAUUCGAUACGUAUUUGAUUUGUUUGAAAUAAUCGAGAUUUGAAUAUAAAGAUCGAGACUCAAGAUGUAUCGUGUGA